RNAcentral lists this ribosomal RNA (429 nucleotides) under Bacteroidota bacterium. Its description in RNAcentral is "Bacteroidetes bacterium partial 16S ribosomal RNA". It matches the Rfam family "Bacterial small subunit ribosomal RNA", at positions 355 to 776 of the family's 1533-position model. Lineage: Bacteria; Pseudomonadati; Bacteroidota. The record is from RNAcentral.
UAGGGAAUCUUUCGCAAUGGACGCAAGUCUGACGGAGCAACGCCGCGUGAGUGAAGAAGGAUUUCGGUUCGUAAAACUCUGUUGUUAGAGAAGAACAGCGCAUAGAGUAACUGUUAUGCGUGUGACGGUAUCUAACCAGAAAGCCACGGCUAACUACGUGCCAGCAGCCGCGGUAAUACGUAGGUGGCAAGCGUUGUCCGGAUUUAUUGGGCGUAAAGCGAGCGCAGGCGGUCAAUUAAGUCUGAUGUGAAAGCCCCCGGCUCAACCGGGGAGGGUCAUUGGAAACUGGUUGACUUGAGUGCAGAAGAGGAGAGUGGAAUUCCAUGUGUAGCGGUGAAAUGCGUAGAUAUAUGGAGGAACACCAGUGGCGAAGGCGACUCUCUGGUCUGUAACUGACGCUGAGGCUCGAAAGCGUGGGUAGCAAACAGG